Anguilla rostrata (American eel) is the source of this 2553-nucleotide long non-coding RNA. RefSeq lists it as uncharacterized. The record is from RefSeq and is a predicted model, not a curated record. NCBI's taxonomy places the organism in Eukaryota, Metazoa, Chordata, Actinopteri, Anguilliformes, Anguillidae. The transcript is spliced from 2 exons.
GGGGUGGUUGGUGGGGGUGGAGGGUACCACGCUGUGUUCUGCUGUGUUUUCACUUUGCUGAUGUGUACUGUAAUUUAUUUACCAUUUGUAUGGGUGCGUGUGUUGUACUCCUGUCUUACUCCUGUCUAGGGUUGCAAAAUUCCGGGAAUAUUCAAGGAUGGAAAUUUUCCAUGGGAAUUAACGGGAAUUUAUGGGAAUUAACAUGAAAUAACGGGAAUAAAAUGGAAAUAUAGCCCUAUUUGCUCAGGCUGCAUUUACCAUGUCAUAUGCAGAUAGAAACAAACGUUUUACCAUACCAUAAGCAGACAUAAUUGCAAACAUUCCCUAAUGACCCCCCUCAAAAAAAAAGACUUUUCUCUUAACACCUAAAAAAACCUCCAAAAACAGUCUUCCGAGAAUUCUAUUUACAUAGAUAGUUGAAGCACAAGUUUUUAGAAAAAGUCAAGGAAUGACAGACAUGUGGAAUAAACAUUAAUAAAAUACAUCCCAUUUUACUGUGCAAGGGGUCAGUUGACCCGGCGGUUCUAGUGAUGAGCAGCAUACCGUGAGUAGUGCCAGGUGACGUCGGCAGCACACUACGUGACCAAAGACGGGAAGUUUUGAAGAGAGGCUAACUGCUUGUCCAAAAUGACCAAUAUUUAUACGACGUCUCCAUGCCGCUUCACAGCGAUAAAAAUAUCCUACUUAUCAGACGGCAUUAAUUUAGUCAACGAAAAAUAUACCUUACGACCCCUUUUUCCAUGAUGAAAACAAAACAUAAUGAAAUAACAAUUCAGAAUAUGCCUUAGGGUUUAAAUUGAACAACUCAUUUAUAAAAUAAAUGUUUUGCAAUAAAGAAUGAAUGCAAAUAGAUGAAUCAAAACUCAUCAAUUAGCAUACUCAAUCAAGCAGCAUCACAUGGUAACAGCUAGCUAGCAGAAGGUGUUAACAAGGUAUAAACUGUGUACUUUGCAUUAGGCUACUAUCUGCCGGUUAACUGAAAUAUAAAAAAUAUAAAAUAUAUUCACUCCAUUAAUAUAAUCAAAACUUACCUGAAAGCAUGUAGUCCUUUGGCUCAGACAGUGCAGUAGUGUUGGCAGUAAUGUGGGCUGCACACUUGAUGGGAGAAUGCACUGUGCAUGCAGAGGGUUGUAAUUUUACUGAAUUCCUAUUUAAAGGUGCAGUGUGUAGAAUGUUGUGGCAUCUAGCGGUGAGGUUGCAGAUUGCAACCAACUGAAUACCCCCCUCACCUCCCCUCACCCCUCCCUUUCCAACGACGUAGGAGAAGCUACGGAGGCCUGUAAGUUCCAAAAAUUAUGUCAUCAUCUACGACAGCAUCGAGUAGCCAAGUGUCAAGUGAUGAGGUUCCUUGAUAGAUUUAUAAAUUGUAUUUAGUUAUUUAGUCUGUAAAACUAUAGGUCAUAGCUUACAAGUAAGAUACAUUUUAUUGCUAAAGUUAGCUAACGUUAGCUGCUUUGCAUGGUAAAUCAUAGAAAGACAUGGUGCGUCACAAAAACUAUUACACUACUAACGCUUACAUUACAGUGUGAAAUAUCCUCAUUAUAAAAUACCACUAACCUAUGUAAAGACACUCAAUUUCAAAAAUAACGUAUAUAACCAAAAUAUUUUGAGCAGUAAUACUUACAUAGCAAUGAUGAAAUCUUAUCUGUUUUCAAUAGAUAGAGACAGAUUAAAUCAAUGAUAUAUUUCUAUCCGCUUCUGUCUUACACCAGAAAACGAUGUCAGCUAGGUCUAUCAGCAAACAUAUGACUUAGCUAUGCCCAAGAAGUCCUCAAUAAUAAUAGUAUUUUCCAAGAAAUUACGAAAAAUUGUUAACAACUUUUCAUUAGGUGCAGCGUAUUUUACUGCUACCACAGAGUGAAUACGUAAGUGAAUGCGAUGAUAACAAAACUUUCCAUUACGCUGACCAAUGAAACGCUAGACAUGUUAUCCAUCGUUAUAAAGCUUAUACUCUCUCCUGCUGAAUAAAUGGAUUGUCAAUCAAGCCAGACUGUACUAAAAAGGACAACAACGCCGUAAACAACACGUGUGGUAUUACACACAGCUAUUUUGGAAGGUACCCAGGCAUCACAAAUGCGCCCUCUCUAGUGCCGUUUGUCCGUUCUGGGCUACUGUAGAAACAUGGCGGUGCAACAUGGCGGCCUCUGUGGAAGAGGACCCGCUCCCUAUGUAGAUAUAAAGGGCUCAUUCAAGGUAACGAAAACACAACAAUUCUUAUUUUCUUGGGAUUAUACACUAAUUAAAACAUACUUUUGAAUAUUACAUUCAAUUUCUGCCAGGUCCGUUCCGCUAGAUGCCACUAAAUUCUACACACUGCACCUUUAAAGGGAUUCUGGCAAAUUAUCAGUACAUGUGAUGGAAGAGUGCGCUGCUGAAUGCAGUGCAUGGUUACAAUUCAAUUAAAUGGGAAUCCUUUUAACCAAAACAUGCCAUAAGACCUAGUGUUGCUUUUUAUGUGCAUUCCCCCCCUAAAUAAGUUCACUAUUAAAAGGUAAGAUUUUUAUAUUGAAAUUGUGCAAAAUUCCCGAGCUUAACUUCCCUUCCAAAAUUUCC